Molecule: transfer RNA, 74 nt
Filed under: Caudoviricetes sp.
Lineage: Duplodnaviria; Heunggongvirae; Uroviricota; Caudoviricetes
Description: tRNA-Leu
Rfam family: tRNA
About the family: Transfer RNA (tRNA) molecules are approximately 80 nucleotides in length.
Source: RNAcentral
AGCAGGAGGGUGCGAAAGGCAAGCACACCGGUGUUAGUAGCCGGAGGAAGCAGGUUCGAUUCCUGCUCCUGCAA